Molecule: ribosomal RNA, 253 nt
Filed under: uncultured bacterium
Lineage: Bacteria
Description: partial 16S ribosomal RNA
Rfam family: Bacterial small subunit ribosomal RNA
Source: RNAcentral
UACAGAGGGUGCAAGCGUUGUUCGGAAUUACUGGGCGUAAAGGGCGCGUAGGCGGCUUGGCAAGUCAGAUGUGAAAUCCUGGGGCUUAACUCCAGAAGUGCAUUUGAAACUGCCUCGCUUGAGUACAGUAGAGGUUGGUGGAAUACCCAGUGUAGAGGUGAAAUUCGUAGAUAUUGGGUGGAACACCGGUGGCGAAGGCGGCCAACUGGGCUGUAACUGACGCUGAGGCGCGAAAGCCGGGGGAGCAAACAGG